GAUGAACGCUAGCGAUAGGCUUAACACAUGCAAGUCGAGGGGCAGCGAGGGUAGCAAUACCUGUCGGCGACCGGCGCACGGGUGAGUAACGCGUAUGUAACCUGCCCGCAACAGGGGGAUAACCCGGCGAAAGUCGGACUAAUACCGCAUAAAACAGGGGUCCCGCCUGGGAAUAUUUGUUAAAGAUUUAUCGGUUGCGGAUGGGCAUGCGUACCAUUAGGUAGUUGGUGAGGUAACGGCUCACCAAGCCUUCGAUGGUUAGGGGUUCUGAGAGGAAGGUCCCCCACACUGGUACUGAGACACGGACCAGACUCCUACGGGAGGCAGCAGUGAGGAAUAGUGGUCAAUGGGCGAGAGCCUGAACCAGCCAAGUCGCGUGAAGGAUGACUGCCCUAUGGGUUGUAAACUUCUUUUACAAGGGAAUAAAAUGAGAUACGUGUAUUUUAUUGCAUGUACCUUGGGAAUAAGCAUCGGCUAACUCCGUG
This 485-nucleotide ribosomal RNA is filed under the name uncultured bacterium. RNAcentral's name for it is "partial 16S ribosomal RNA". It matches the Rfam family "Bacterial small subunit ribosomal RNA", at positions 28 to 507 of the family's 1533-position model. The record is from RNAcentral.